This 786-nucleotide ribosomal RNA is filed under the name Clostridioides difficile. Its description in RNAcentral is "bacterial LSU rRNA". It matches the Rfam family "Bacterial large subunit ribosomal RNA", at positions 1631 to 2427 of the family's 2925-position model. The record is from RNAcentral. Lineage: Bacteria; Bacillati; Bacillota; Clostridia; Peptostreptococcales; Peptostreptococcaceae.
GUUAAAGGUACCCGUACCGCAAACCGACACAGGUGGGUGAGGAGAGUAUCCUAAGGCCAGCGAGAGAACUGUUGUUAAGGAACUCGGCAAAAUGACCCCGUAACUUAGGGAUAAGGGGUGCCACCAUCAGGUGGCCGCAGAGAAUAGGCCCAAGCGACUGUUUACCAAAAACAUAGGUUUCUGCUAAGUCGCAAGACGAUGUAUAGGAGCUGACGCCUGCCCGGUGCUGGAAGGUUAAGGGGAUCUGUUAGAGCAAUCGAAGCAGUGAACUUAAGCCCCAGUAAACGGCGGCCGUAACUAUAACGGUCCUAAGGUAGCGAAAUUCCUUGUCGGGUAAGUUCCGACCCGCACGAAAGGCGUAACGAUUUGGGCACUGUCUCAACAACAGACUCGGUGAAAUUGUAAUUCCGGUGAAGAUGCCGGAUACCUGCGACAGGACGGAAAGACCCCAUGGAGCUUUACUGUAGCUUGACAUUGGGUCUUGGUACUACAUGUACAGGAUAGGUGGGAGGCUUUGAAACCAGGACGCCAGUUUUGGCGGAGCCAUCCUUGGGAUACCACCCUUGUAGUACUGGGACUCUAACCAUAGGCCAUGAAUCUGGUCUUGGGACACUGUCAGGUGGGCAGUUUGACUGGGGCGGUCGCCUCCCAAAAGGUAACGGAGGCGCUCAAAGGUUCUCUCAGUACGGUCGGAAAUCGUACGUAGAGUGUAAAGGCAAAAGAGAGCCUGAUUGCAAGACAUACAGGUCGAGCAAGGAUGAAAAGCGGACUUAGUGAUCCGGUGGU